GCUUCCAUGGGAGAGCCAGCAAAGACAGCUUUUGCUCAUUAAACUAAUAAUGUAGUAAUUUAGUUCAAAUUGCCACAGCUUUCAGCUGGUUCUGAUAAGAUGGGCUUUAAACUGUGGUAGAGAAGAAAUAGGCACCUUCUUGUUCUGCAGCCUGUAUCACAGUCUGGCAUCCUCUGCCACAAAGGUGCAGCUGGACUGGGCAACUGCAGCAGCCAAAGUGCACCACCUCACACCUGCAGAAAGGCAGAAUCCUGUCUGUGUGCUGAAUGUCUCACUACCCCCAGUUUCAGCACUUCAGUUCUUUAAUUCUACCCACACCCUGCAUGUUUAACCCCAGGAUCUCAAAGUUUCUGUGUUUACCUGUGAUGACAGUAAGUCAUGUUUGGAGUUUGGAGGGAGGUGGGGUGGUUUCUUGAGGUUUAUGUUUGUUUGAUUUUUGCUCAGCAGCUCUCCUGGUACUUUCUGAGAAUCUUGCCAGACUGGUAGGGUAUGACCAAGCCCAAAGGACACUUACAGAGUACACAAGGGAGGUUCACCCAAAAACAGUAAACAGUGAUAAACAAUUAAGUUUAUCCCCUGGGAACUGCUCACUUGUCUUCUCAAACUUCAUAGAUCUUUUCUAGAAAUUCUUCGUCUAUUCCUGAAUCUCAGUAAUUUUUAACAUGCUACUACUUCAAACAAAGCUGCCACUGAAGUCUGCUAGGACAGAUCAGGCACAAAAAGAAGUUUUGGUUUAAACCAAACAAUUUUAAGUGAUGCCAUAUGAUGCCAGAAUAAAUGAACCAUUACACCAAUGUCCCUGCUUAUAAAAAACAAAACAAAUUUUUCUUAGAAAAUGGAAGUGCCUGAGGACCCUGAGCAGUCAGGAGUAAAUGUUUAAUCCUGGGAGAAGUGCGGGCUGGGUUCAGUCACGGGGCAGAGCAGAAGGGCUGCUCAGGACCAGGCACCUCAAACCAAAGCACCUGGGGCACAGAGGGCUAUGGCCAAGCACCCCAGUGAGCUCAGAACCUGUUAGAAGUGAGCUGAACCAAGUAUCACUGAAUGCAUCCUGCACCAAGCAUGAAUAACAGCCUGACCAUCAGAGCACACAGAAACACAAACUGAGAACCCAACUGUUUCCUGUGAGGGAAGCUGCAGAUUUUUUGAUUAUGCACAAAUAUUUUCCUAGUGUGAUUCAUCCACCCUUGAUAUUGGAUUAAGACCACAAUAUGAUAAAAAUAAUAUUAUUAACACAGCAUUAUUGUAGACAUUAAUCUGAUAAUGCAAAUGGCAAAGAUCAGACCUUUUUUACAAGGCACAGAAAGAUAAGAAUGUUUACCAUGUCAAAAUAACCUCAGAA
Molecule: long non-coding RNA, 1339 nt
Filed under: Manacus vitellinus (golden-collared manakin)
Lineage: Eukaryota; Metazoa; Chordata; Aves; Passeriformes; Pipridae
Description: lncRNA (ENSMVIG00005014924.1)
Source: RNAcentral